GAUGAAGAACGUAGCGAAAUGCGAUACUUGGUGUGAAUUGCAGAAUCCCGUGAACCAUCGAGUCUUUGAACGCAAGUUGCGCCCGAAGCCAUCAGGUUGAGGGCACGUCUGCCUGGGCGUCACAUAUCGUUGCCCAAUGCCUAUUGCAGUGCAAUAGGAAUUUCUAGGGCGAAUGAUGGCUUCCCGUGAGCGUUGUUGCCUCGCGGUUGGUUGAAAAUCGAGUCCUUGGUAGGGUGUGCCAUGGUAGAUGGUGGUCGAGUUAGAACGAUACCGAUCAUGUGCAUGCUCCCCAAAAUAUGGCCUCUAUGACCCACACGCGUCUUUUGACGCUCAUGACGAGACCUCAGGUCAGGCGGCGCUACCCGCUGAAUUUAAGCAUAUCAAUAAGCGGAGGA
RNAcentral lists this unclassified non-coding RNA (395 nucleotides) under soil metagenome. Its description in RNAcentral is "partial contains 5.8S ribosomal RNA, internal transcribed spacer 2, and large subunit ribosomal RNA". The stretch from base 1 to 122 matches the Rfam family "5.8S ribosomal RNA", at positions 35 to 154 of the family's 154-position model. The record is from RNAcentral.